UCCCGCGCUGGGGCGGGGGGAGGCGGCGACGGGCCGUGCCCGGCUCGCCCUGCGAGCGGUGGGGCCGCGUCGAGCCGCCGACUGUCACACGUUCCCCGCGGGAGCUCCGCUGCGGGACUCAGGCGGGCACGGCCCGCGGUGGCCGCCCCGGUGGAGGUCUCGGUGGGUUAAGCAGCCGCAGUUGGCGGCACAGCUCGUCAGCAGAGCAGGCAGCUGCAUUUCUGAGGGACAAGCCCGGGGAUGACGGCAAAUCGGAAGAAGUAAUGUUUAGUGGGGACGCUUAAAACUGUGAAAAACCCACUAGGUAUUAACUGCACGCCUGUGAGGCCUAAGUGCAGCACACAGGAUAAGCACAGCCGCGAAUCCCUGGAGCACACCCCGGAAUAACCAAGUGUCCCGGCGCAGCUCCGCGGUGCCCGGCACGGGGCCCGCCCGGCCCCUGCCACCCCGCGGCCGCGCGAGCGGCGGAGCCCCCUCCGCGGCACAUUGCCGGGAUCUGUUGAAGGACAGAAAAACUUCCUAGCAGGAGUUUCUCGAUUCCAGACCGCUGACGUAAGCCGCAGCCAAUGCAGCGCUGGCCGGACGGCAGCAGCGCUCGGGCCCGCUCGACACGAGCCCGGGCAGGGCAGGGCACGUGCGCUGCCGUGCCCGGUACGCGGCGGUGGCAGCGUGACCGAGCUGCGAGCUCCGUGCGCGCCCCCCGUGUCCGAGACAGCAAAACAUUCUAAACCUGCCCCUGCCGGCGGCUAACGCAGACGCGGUGCCCCGCACAGGUACACGGAACUCUUCCCGGGAGCGCUUCCUGACGCGUAAGCGCCCGGCGCAGGAAUGCCGCCCGCCCGGGGACAGGCUGGCCGUGAGCCCAGCCCGCUCCGGCAGGCGCAGCCCAGGUGUGCUUUAUCCACACCGCCACCUGUGGGGCUCCCGCAGCCCUGCAGCCCCGGCCUGGGCCGGGCACGGAACCCUGUGCCCAGCAAUCGUUUAGCAUUGAAAGGAAAAUCGUCUGCCUGGGAGAAAUGUACUUGGGAAAGCGUAGGAUAGCGAAGAUACAUUUUGCUUCUAAAUAUAUAGAAAAUAAAAUAUCGACAUCUGAAUGGCACCACAGAGAAGACAUCUGGCUCGGGCUGCAGUGAACCAAUGGAGGAACAUCUGCUCGAGCUGUUUUCUCUGUGGUCCUCGGGGGACAUGCUCAGCCUAGAACUUCAUAGGGUCUUGUUGUAGGAUACAACAUUAAUGGGAAGGCACAGUUUAGCUAAUCCAUCUAGAUGCUUGUAGUGACUGUUUCUGGUGGAAAUUUGACAGUGGGCCUUGUUUCAAAAAGCUGAGAGAAAGCAAAGUACGGGCUGAGCACUGAAACACACACAUCACAGAGAUCCCCUGUUGAAGCUGUCUUUUUAGUUUAAGGGCUACCAGCAAUGGCAUGAGAAAAUGGAGGGUUACAGAAAUGAAGAGGAAGAGCAGCCUGGUGACUUCUGUCUGGCAGAAAUGCCUCUAUCGUAUUUGAUUUGAAAUUUACAUAGAUGCCAGCAGUUAUGACACAACUGUCACUUUAAGUUCACUUAACUGGACAUGAAACAAUAAUGACAAACAAUCAGAAUGACAGUUCUCCUUCUAGUCUGCAGUGAGGUUCUUCUAUCUCAAUUCUGCAACAUUUCUUCUGUUCACUCCACCAGACAAAUGUGUUUCUGUUAUUAAGAUUUCUCUGGCUCGGUGCAGCAUUGCUAAAAGCAAGAGGAAGAGUUUCUAAGCUUUCUAUUUAGUUUUUCAGCCAUACCAUUAUCAAAGAAAGAGUUUCUUAGUAACAGUUUUUAACAUUAACUCUUUAAUAGCUACCUUCCUGAUGUAAUCCAUUAUUGAAAAAUAUUAUAUUGUGUAAGAAUAUUACAUUAUUUUUUAAUAUAAAAAUAUAGCUUUCUACUCUUAGGUUAUUUUUCAUAACUGGAGGGACUACUAUACUCCAUGACCAUAACUCUUUUUAUCAUUCUAGUAUGAUUCAGUAGCUUUUGCUGUCUUAUAAACAAUCUUACAAUUAAGAGCUAAUGUUAAUGGAAUAGAUUGUUGUCAUAGGAUAAUGGUUUCCUGCUGCUAGAUAAAUGCUGUGGCAAUGCUAGGACAUUUAUUGAAAGUAAUAGUGAAGACAAAGCUAAGAGAUUUAUUUUUAAAGCAGGUGCCACAGAUCCAGUGACACCAUUCUGUUAAAAUUGUUUUAUUUCUAUUUCACUGAGAGACUGAUGAAGAUGGAAGCAUUUUGCCUGAUGUAUGCAAGUGCAGCAAAGUGACAGUGGCUCAUUUCACUGUAACUGAAUAAGCUGCAUUGCACUUGGCUUGGGAAGAGAUUUAUUGUGUGGCUCAUCCAAUCAGAAAACAGUUUAUCCAUUAACUACGGCUUUCAAAUAUGUUGUAUUUCUGUGAACAAGAUGGGGCUUGAUGCUUUCUUUCACAGAAAGAGUUAUACAGGGUUCUCAGAACAGGAGGAAAGUGGGGCCCUUCGGUGCUUGUUCCACCAGUCAUUCCAGAAGCCCGCGGAAUGCUAGGCUGGGGAGAGGGAACCUGUCUACAAUGUGUUCCCCUCCUCCUAAAUCAAUGGUUCCUUGUCUCCCCUCUGCAUUGCAGGGUGUUAUCUCAGUGUCAGCAAACCAGAAAUGGCAGGAUUGUUCUUACCAGUGCAGAGGGUGGACAGGAAAGUUUUUGUGUAGUCUAGUGUUUCCUUUGUCUUUGCAUUCACAGGAUCUCGAGGUUCUGGAAAAUUUGCCUUCUUCCUUUUCCAUGACUUUCAAAAUUACUCACCCCUGAAUUCUCCAAGAGAGAACUGUGAAAAGCAGAGCUCGUAGAGCUUCAUAGGCCCUCUAUCUGCUCUUGUGGAAUUGUAAUAAAACACCUUGAUUGCCCCAAAUAUACAGCUCCUACAAAACUGGAGUCAGUUGUCAGGAAGUACAUGGAAUCCAUUCAAUGCAAUGAGCUUCCUCUGGACAGAUAUGCCCUAAUUGCCUGACUUAGGCUUCAGCAAAUCCUUUGUCUUUUCUUUUGAACUGUGGAGCAGCUAUUCCAAGUGGCAGUGCUGUAGCUAUGACAGCUUGAGGAUAUUCCACAAAUAAGAAAAAACAUGAUCCCUUCCUACAAUCUCUGAUCAUUCUGAAGCAUCUUUAAAGUUGUGUUGUAAAACAGUAUAAUGACUUUAUAUAACCCUAAAGUCCCUGCUAGGGUUUCCUUAAGAAACAAACUAAUUUUAUGAUUAAGGCCCACGGACCUUGACAUCAAACCAGCAAUUCACUGCUGCAAGGACUUACUGCUCUCUGUAGCUGCUCAAAGCACAGUUCUGAAUUAACUUCUAAGACCAGAGCUUGAAGGCAGUAAACAACUUUAACCUUUUCUUGACCCCAGACACAUCUCACAAACAGCACUUCAGUAAAUACAAAAAUUUCACUUUAAACCAUGUGCAGAUAUUCUGAGAACUACUUCAGUCUUAAGUUUUUGAGUUUUAAGAAAAUGGUUAUACUAACAACUGGGCAAGUGUUACAGUACUUGUUCCAAAGGGCCAUCAGGUAAGGUUCAUAGAGAAAAAUAGAAAUAGGAGAGAUCUGCAAUCGUGACAGAAUUAACCCUUGUAGCUGUGAAGUCUGUUGGGUCAUCACACAGUGCAGAGCUCCAGCAAACACAUA
Molecule: long non-coding RNA, 3659 nt
Organism: Passer domesticus (house sparrow)
Lineage: Eukaryota; Metazoa; Chordata; Aves; Passeriformes; Passeridae
Exons: 2
Source: RefSeq, a predicted model, not a curated record